UACGUAGGGUGCGAGCGUUGUCCGGAAUUAUUGGGCGUAAAGAGCUCGUAGGCGGCUUGUCGCGUCGGUUGUGAAAGCCCGGGGCUUAACUCCGGGUCUGCAGUCGAUACGGGCAGGCUAGAGUGUGGUAGGGGAGAUCGGAAUUCCUGGUGUAGCGGUGAAAUGCGCAGAUAUCAGGAGGAACACCGGUGGCGAAGGCGGUUCUCUGGGCAUUACCUGACGCUGAGGAGCGAAAGUGUGGGGAGCGAACAGG
This 253-nucleotide ribosomal RNA is filed under the name uncultured bacterium. RNAcentral's name for it is "partial 16S ribosomal RNA". It matches the Rfam family "Bacterial small subunit ribosomal RNA", at positions 524 to 776 of the family's 1533-position model. The record is from RNAcentral.